GUGGGGAAUAUUGGACAAUGGGCGAAAGCCUGAUCCAGCCAUGCCGCGUGUGUGAAGAAGGUCUUCGGAUUGUAAAGCACUUUAAGUUGGGAGGAAGGGCAUUAACCUAAUACGUUAGUGUUUUGGCGUUACCGACAGAAUAAGCACCGGCUAACUUCGUGCCAGCAGCCGCGGUAAUACGAAGGGUGCAAGCGUUAAUCGGAAUUACUGGGCGUAAAGCGCGCGUAGGUGGUUCGUUAAGUUGGAUGUGAAAGCCCCGGGCUCAACCUGGGAACUGCAUCCAAAACUGGCGAGCUAGAGUACGGUAGAGGGUGGUGGAAUUUCCUGUGUAGCGGUGAAAUGCGUAGAUAUAGGAAGGAACACCAGUGGCGAAGGCGACCACCUGGACUGAUACUGACACUGAGGUGCGAAAGCGUGGGGAGCAAACAGGAUUAGAAACCCGUGUAGUCC
RNAcentral lists this ribosomal RNA (450 nucleotides) under uncultured bacterium. RNAcentral's name for it is "partial 16S ribosomal RNA". It matches the Rfam family "Bacterial small subunit ribosomal RNA", at positions 354 to 796 of the family's 1533-position model. The record is from RNAcentral.